Molecule: long non-coding RNA, 707 nt
Organism: Siniperca chuatsi (mandarin fish)
Lineage: Eukaryota; Metazoa; Chordata; Actinopteri; Centrarchiformes; Sinipercidae
Exons: 2
Source: RefSeq, a predicted model, not a curated record
UUAGAGGGUAAAAUGGGAACAGAACAACUUGCAAAGCACACUACUUAUCUUUGUGUACAAUUACAAGGGAAGCUGAACUCUGAGACAAAACUCUCAGAUUGCUGACUAACAUCAUAAUGGCAGCCUGUCAUCAGAGAUACCAGGACCAGGACUGAGUCUGGACUGAACAACACGUACUCUUUCCUCCUUCAGCUGAGGUACAAACAAACCAAACUGUCCCACUGGGGCUGCUCAGUAGUCAGCAGUUUAAGACUGUGUAUGAGUUGUGUGAUUCAGGACCAAAGCUUUUUGGUCAGUCAAUUUGCAGUACCAUAGCUCUAUGAUAGCUAAUUUUCUCACCGAAUUAGAUGUGAAAAUAUCGGAAGAGGAGCGAGAGGGAGGUCGGGCAUCAGAGAGGCAGCGUGCAGAACCAGAAUAUUUUCGCAUCUAACUCAGGGAAUUAAGGGUUUAUAUCGCCCAAACCAGAGUUUGUGAUUGUUGGAACAAUGGAAGGACAAACCAAGAAGGUUUUGGAGCUUCAUGGAGCUCUGACAUCAGUUUGGCCCCUCUGUGUUCAGCGGGCUGACUGCUCCAGUAUGCCUUAGCUUGGUCCAAGGGCUGGAGGUGGGGAAGGUGGCCACCAAAAGAGGAGAAAUGUGCCUCACGGUAACUCCAACAUGGUCUGUUUUUACAUGUUGUGUCUUCAUAACUGGCUCACUGACAUUAGG